GUGCGCGAUCCGGUCUCCCUCCUCUCUCUGCUUCUUUUCCUUCCUCCGUUCUCUCUCUCUUCGAGAUAAUUUGAGGACCCUCUUCUUUGUCUCUGCGAAGGAUGAAGAACAAGGAAAGAGGAGGAUCUCUCCCGUCCGGAAACCCUAAAUUUCGAGGUCCCUCUUCUUUGUUUCUAUGUCAAGGAUCUGAUCCAAGAACAAGAAAGAGGAGGGUCUCUCUCCUCCGGAAACGAUAAUCUCCUUCAAGAAUUUUGAGGCCCCUCUUCUUUGUUUCUCUGCGAACGACCCAAGAACAAGGAAAGAGGAGGGCAUUCUAGGGAAAUGGGGAUCAUGGUGGACUCAAAACCUAGAUCCUGGCCAGCCAUAAUUUGAAGAGAUACUUCUGCUCGAUACGUUGUUAAUGUGAUUCUCUUGCUAUCUCGCUCUAAUAUAUAUUUAAUUAUUGAUUCUUAAAUAGGGGAUCUGUUCCCAUGAUCUGUUGUGAGAUAGUGAGAUGGCUGUCUUUUCUUCCUUUGAUUGAACUGGAGCGAUGUUAGGUUCAGCAAAGUGAGAACUUAUUGUUGCGUUGUAUGUGAUCCUAGUUUUGUAGUUGCCGGAAGCAAUCGUUUUGUUAAACUAAACGAUUUUCUUGGGAUGUCAAUGAUCCGUUGUACCUAAAAACAAGGUGAAGUAGUUAAUUUGUCUGUAUCACUCAGUAGUCUGCUUCAACGAAUCCAAGAACAAGGAAAGAGGGGCCAUAGAUCACAUCCUUCCUGUUCUGUGGGGGACUCAGAUCCCGGAGCCUCUCUCUCCAGUGAAACCUUGAAGAGUUCUUUUUGUUAUUGAAAGCAAUAUCUUCAGAUGAAUUUCUUGAGAUGUGAAGUUUUUGAUGUCGAUCUGAGAACAUGGCAAAGCUCAGUUUAUUUGUUUUUAUGUACUUGGUACUAUGAUUCACUUCAUCUUAUCUGUGAAAUCAUAUACACAGAGUGUAUUUAUGGUGAUUUAUUUUGAAAUCGCACAUCACCAUCAUAAUCAUAAUGCCCAGCACUUCAGGACCAUCUGAUCUGUUGUUAACUAUCAAUGCCUGAUUACAGAAGAUUUGAAUGCCUUUCCCAUUUAUGGUUGCUCUCUCAUGUAACAUUUGCAUUUUAUCAGCACAUGCUAGUUUAGAGUUAACUGGUGAUGCUUGUGGAUCUGGUUUGAUCUUGCUUUUUGCCUAGAAUGAAAAUUGGCUUGUUAUUUGUUUAUGGACUACUAUAAUUAUGUUCAUAUUUUAAAUCUUAUUAGUUCUGUACUUUAUGUCACUCUAGAUAGAGCUGAUGCUAACGGCUUUCAAUGAUUCAUCAUUAUAAUAUUUUUAUUAACAUAUCUUCCCUUGAACUCAAAAUAAUGUGGCUUAAUUGCAGUAUAAUGAAGCAAUAAUACCCUGCUGUGACUCAAGGUAAAGUCUCAUCUCUCUCCACAGCAUCCUGCUAUGUGCUGCAGUCAUAGCUUACAACUAAUUUAGUUAGCUACAUGUAGAUAAAGCCUGUGUUAAGGAGUUUGACCUGAAAUCCAUGUGGGAGAGCGCAAAUGGCACAUUCAGGAAUAUGUUAUAAUUUAAAUGAUUGGAUAAUCUGCCUUGACUGCAUUCUAAUGGUUGGUAUUGCCUAGGUAAUCUAUGGUCCUAAACUGAGCAGGAUGGAGGAAAAGAAUUCCUGUAGCUAACCCCAACUAGUUUGGGAUCAAGUCUUAGUUGAGUUGAGUGCCUAGGGGAUUACAAAUUCGGCUGUGAGAAUAUAAUUUUGUUUGGCCACGGCAUGCAUCCUAUGGAUAUCAGGUAAUGUUCCUAAACAAGUUCUUUUUAUAUAUAAAGAAAAAACUAUAGUGCAAGUUAACUACAAGCUUACCCACCUUCAUAAGAUAUCCAUUGCUUCGCUCAUAAGAAUGCCUUUUUAUAUUAGUAUAGAAGCUGAUUCUAUGGUUUUUCUUAUUUUGAGCUGCCUAACUUAUAUAGUAUUUUCUUUUAUUGGUUUCAGAGCAAUUGAACCUUUUUUUUACACUUCCGAUGAAUUCUGCAAUGUCAUUCUACAGCAAUGUGAUAUCUGUGUUAAAAACUUAAGUUUCAAACUGAAAUGGUAUAGCAUGUUUCGUUUUGGACUUCAAGCUUGUUAGAUUUUGCUAGUCUUCAUAGAGGCUGACAUUGAUCUUGAUUAUUCUUGUACUCAAAAUCUAUAAUUUUUUCUGAGUUCUAUAACAAUUUAUUCAUAUUCCUGAAAUCUGAAUUUUCUGUAUGGAAGUUGUCAAGAUCCAAAAAAAAAGGAACAAUAACAUUUAUUAAUAUUAUGAUUUUUCUGGGCAAAGGCUCCGCACUUUUGAGAUCUCACCAAUUAGCUGUGUUGCACCCUAGUGUUUCCUUGAGUUCCUCCAGUGUAUGUGUCACGCUCCGAACCCAGAGCAUAACAGACGCUGCAUGCCUGUAUAGCAGACCAUAUACGCAUGCAAGGCUAUUGAUUAUAUCAAAGCAAUAAUAAUUCUUGAAAAGUUAUUUAAUCAAGAAUUUAUUCACAUAAUUCUUACAAUAGUUCCAAGGUCACAUAAGUCAAUAUAUGCUAACUAUUUACUUAAAUUAAAUAAAAUAUUCUAUCUAGUCUAAAUAGUUCGACUAGAACUCCAAUAACUAAAAGUAUCUUUGGAAGAUCUAGUGCACUUUUCCAAGUUCUAAGCAAUUAUGCAUUUGGAUCUGAAAAAAAGAAAGUAUGAUAAUGAGCUACACUGGCUCAGUAAGUAACAUAAUAUCCUGACCCCAUGCCAGAUAGUUAGCUAAGAAGCAAGAUAUUGACUGAAAAAUAAAUCAAUUCUCGAAUAAUACAUAUAUCUCUUUUAAAAUUUAUUAUUAUUUUUAUAAAUUGAUACUAGAAAUCCAACAUCAGGCUAUGACCACAUAAUCCAGUGGCAUGGGUCAGAAUGUACAAAGUGCCAAACACUACUAUUCUUAACUACCGGUGGUACGGUGUCCAAAUAUCAUUAUUCUAAUCACCGGUGGUGCCGUGUCGAAACUAGUUUCUCAUAUUACAAGUCGACAAGGCCAACGAAUAAUCCUCAUUACCGGGGCCAGAUCAUAGUCGUGUUGAGAAUACAUACAUAUAAAACAAAUUUUUCAUAAUUUGCCCAGUCAUAUUUUCAGAUUUUAUAAUAUAAUACAUAAUAUAUUUUACAAUAAUUACUACCAUAACGUUAACAUGCCUGACCUGUUUAACUAAGUAUAAAACAUAUAUCAUAAUUAAAUUUAAUCAACUAUUAUUUUACUAAAAAUUCAGAAAACACCCUUUGAAGCAUUAGGUUAUUUACCUCUUAUUACUUCAAAAUUCCACUCCAAUUAGACAGGUCAGGUUUGCCUGCUUUAAUAUCAUUAAAAUACAAUUAAUUUUUAUCAAUAUCCUAAAAGCCAAGCAAAGUCAAAAUUAAAAUACUAUUGGGGAUACAGCCUCAUGCCCAAAUCAGAUCAGUCAGGUGCCAGUGCAUUACUACUUGGGUCGGUCUGAACAAUGUGAACUCAACUGGUCAGGUGAAGAUCAAUAGUGACCAAAUUUCAAAAGAUGUAGCUGGGGUUGAAGUAAUGGGCUGAUCUACCGCCUGGAAACCGGAGCGGUUCAGGAUCUUCAAACUGGAUCAACUUGGAUCCGAGCAACAAAAAAAGCAAGGCUUACACUAGGAUCCAUGAGCAUGUCUAGAGAGAGAAAGAGCGAGAGGAGAGAGAAUCUCAACUCGGGUUCAACCAGAGGUUUGGGUUUGGUCCGUUGAUGGCAUAGGCCAUCCUGGAUCAUUUUGUCUGGCCCAUAAAUCAGGAGAGAAAAGAGAAUUUGUGAACUAAUCCAUAGCUAAUAAAUGAAUAAAUAAUUGAAAGAAAAUAAAAGGAUAGGGACCUCAUGUCUUCUAACCAAUCUUGUCCUGCUGUCCAUGUGCUAAAUGUCUCAAAGGGGUUUAUUACUCACAAGGCUGGUAGUAUGAUUUAUAAUCAGUUGCUGAAACUACAGGCUUGUUUGGAUAGAGCAAGAUCUAGGCUAAUCCUAUAGGAUUUAACAAUCCUAGGGAUAAAAAUUCAGCAUAGGUUAGAAAUAGGUGUUUGGGUGACUAAUCCUAUAGAUAGCUAACUUGCAGGAACAAGCUUAUCUUGUAGGAUAAAAAUAAAGUGGUCAAGAAGACAUUUUUAAUUGUAUGGUCAUCAGGUUUCACUUCUCAGCCCCAAAAUUUAAGAAGACCCUCUUUCUCUUCCCUUCCCUGCUCCCCAUAGCCAUAGCUUCGGCCACCAUAGAUGACGUGGACUGGUGGAUGGCGGGCUUGCCCCGGUCCAUGUUGUCAACCUCGGGCACCUCCCCACCACACCAAAGCCAACUCCCCUCCGCCCCCGAUUCCGCUUGCAACAGCCACUCUCUCACCUUGCCGAGGUCCUCAUCUCCCAUUUCUGCUCGUCAGGCAUCUUAUCUAUUUGGACUUAUUUGAUGCCGAGUAUGCAGCAUUGAGAUUGAGUUUGGCUUUGCCUUCUCAUCAGUUCUCCACAUCGUCCUCUCCUUUGGCCUCUCUACCACUAUGGCUUCCCAGAUUGGUGCUCCAACCUCUGCCUCUGUGCUACCCUCAACCUCCCCAUCACCGCCAUCUCUAUUCAGAUCGCCUGCCAUGCCUUCUGACCUUGCUCCUAGGGCCCCUGCCUUGCCGACCUUAAGCACCCCCUCCAUCCCACUUGCUUUGCCCUUUGUUGCGCCUCCCUCCUCAUUUCCCUCUUCAGUCACUGCUACAUCCCCUGCCACCUUGCCCUAGCCAGGGACUCCACCUUCGUCAUCGACGAGGCCCGCAUCUCCUGCUAUAGAUUCGAACUUACUGAGUUCUUCCAUAACAAGUCGACCUUUCACCCCUUCCUUCCUUAUUUUAUUUUUCCUUGAUCCAAAUAUAGGAUAAGAUCAGUAAUACAGGAUUUUUCUUCCAAUAAGGGUAUGUUUGGAUUUUUCUUCCAAUAAGGGUAUGUUUGGAUAUUCCUAUAAGAUUAGGUUAAAAAUCCUGCAAGAUUCGUGAAUUGGACGGCUUGUUCAAGCAUGGCUCUAUCAACCAAACACCUCGGAGCACAAAUCCAGAGAGAGAGAGAGAGAGAGAGAGAGAGAGAGAGAGAGAGCUCCAUGGGUCUUUUUUUUUUUCCUUCCUGCAACCUAAAGGCUGAGAUUUGUGUUGGGCUUUGGGCAGGACCUUAAAAGAUAUGAGAUGGGCUAACAAGCUUGAUAUCUGCAGGAUUUUCAACCUCCCUGAGAUUUUAUAUGGAGUCCUGUAGGAUCAAAAUCUGGAUCCCAUGAUAAAUUUUAUUCUAAAGUUAUAAAUUCUUUGUACCCAAACUGGUCCUAAGCAGUAGAAGUACUGGAUCUGCAACUAUAUGUUUCACUGCUAAGUAGGAGGUAGGAUUCAUUCUCUCAUACAAAGACUGAGUCAACAACUAUAUGUUCUGCUGCUGACGACUUUGGCCUUUCGGGUCAAUCUAAGUGUUCAAAUUAUAGGAAAUUUGUGGGUCUCUCACAUUAUUUAAUUUAGCAACAGCCAUGCUGUUACCUAGAUAGUAUUACCCACUACUUUCUUUUUAUAUCAUAUUCUAGCAUCACAGUAAAUUAUCAUUAUGCAAAAAUGAUAACGAAUGGAUAUUCUUUAGCACACGACCUCGGUGAGACACUAUAUGUCGAUGGGGAGCAGGAUAGAUCAAAUGUGGUUUUCAAGGUCUUCUCGGCUGACAUGGCUGCUUUGCUGAUAGGCUUGGACAGAUCACCAAAUCAAUACAAGCUAUGGUAGAAAGUUGGGUUAGAAACAAGUCUUUCAGAAUACUCUUGCGCAGGAUUUGCUGUACCGGCCCAAAUCGGACGGUACAGGGCAUAUUGUACCAUACCGGUUUGGUACCGGUAUCUGUUAUAGGUGGCGUACCAAUACUCGGUUUGUCGAAAAAAAUUUGUAUUGUAUCGUGCUGAUAUUGUGCUAGUGUGGCACCAAAACAAUAAAUCUUGCUCUUGCAUAAGCUUCCUAUGUUUUAUUUUCAAAUGAUGCAAGUGAUCCUUGUCAAGAUCUUCGGAGUUGGCGGGCUUAGUUUUCUCUUUUGCUUCAUCUGUUUCUCGCCCAGCACCACAUUGAACGCCACAAAUCCUAUAGAGGAGGAAUUCAUGUUGAGCGCAUUCCAUAGUGCGUUCGCACUGUGAUGCCGGGUCCUCAUGUCAACGGCGUGCAUCCUGUAUACCAUGCUUAUCUGAGCGUGGUAUGCAUAAUGCAUGACAUCACACGCAUGGGCUCGAAAUCACUGUCCAUGUUCAGAUUGCGCUAGCCACUGAUAGUCGGCAUAUUUUUUUUUAAAAAAAAUGUGGGAUCUAAGCAGGCUGUUGUCCCUGAAACAUGCACCUUCUUUUUUUGCUUAUUAGUAUUUUUUUGUAUGUCACAUGUGAAAGUGUUGCUGCACUUCUUGGAAGCAAUUUAGCUAACGCUUGGUCAUAUUUGAAGUGGGAUACGCAGCAAGAGACCGUAAAAUCUUGGUUUUGCUUCGCUUUUGAAACACUCCCUCUACCCUGCAGAUCAAAUAGUUCCUGUGCAAUAUAUUGGUGCGUUCGUGAUAGGCAAAGCUCAUUUGUUCCUCAAAAUAGAUUGCUUUUUGGUGACUGACCCCGGAAUUGCAUGAGAAGUUGCUCCGAAAGAAACACCCUCCUUCUGAGGCUGAGGUACGUUCUUCGUCUUGUCUGCCCUGUUUUAUUCUAUUGGACGACAACUUGCUUUUUGUCCAAGCAGCUUGUUUUUGAGCGAGUCCUCCAACCCGUUUUGUUCUUAAAACUUUAUAAGAAUCAUAAAUCAUCUGUCCGGCCUAGCGUGUCCAGUGACAGGGUAUUCCAGGAAUAUAAUAUUCAUGUUCCACCUUUUCUUCCCCUCCACAAAGUUUUUUUUAU
Molecule: non-coding RNA, 6914 nt
Organism: Phoenix dactylifera (date palm)
Lineage: Eukaryota; Viridiplantae; Streptophyta; Magnoliopsida; Arecales; Arecaceae
Source: RefSeq, a predicted model, not a curated record